CCCCUCCCCUCUCUUCUCCUCCCUCCAUCUCUCUCAUCAUCCCUUCCCCCUCUCUCCUCAUCCCCUCCCCCUCUCUUCUCCUCCCUCCAUCUCUCUCCUAUAGAUUUAUGAGCUCUAACCCUGUAGGAGUGGCAGUAACACAGAGCCUGGGGGGCCUGGGGCCUCUCUCUGUAACAGCAGCUAGAGGAUACUGCUGAGACCUCACACACACCCUUCUACAUACAGACACACCACACAGUAACACAGGGCUGGACCAGGGGCCUCUGUAGCAGCACUAUACCCCUGAGACCUGCCUAAGAAAACAGAAUGAAGACAGGCAAGAAAAGCUGUGAUAACUAGGAACAGGUCCGGCCAGUGACUCAUAGACAGACCUCACAGUGGCUUGUGGGCGUAGUGGGAGUGUGUGUGGAGGGGGAACGUGUGUGUGUGUGUGUGUAUCAUUCCAUUGGGCAGAAGCUGGCCUAGGAUCCCUCUGAUUGCUGGUUAUCUUCAGAUGGAAGCUUUAAUCACACAGGAGGACAUCAGUGUGUGGAAACUCCCUUAAAGUUAGGACUCUUGCCAUUGCUAAGGGGAGCUCCCAAUCUCACACACACACACACACACACACACACACACACACACACACACACACACACACACACACACACACACACACACACACACACACACACACACACACACACACACACACACACAGACACACACACACACACACAUGCUUAGUGUUUGUCUCUAAACAUGCCUGUUAUAGAAAGGACUCCCUGCAUUGCAGAAGUGUCUAGGGGAGUGUUAGAGGGUGAUUAUUUCACCCCACUCUAAAACACACAUCUGACAAUCAGAUACUGUAAAGAAAACAUGGUGAUUUGAUUUGUCAUUAUUUCUGGGACUAUUAGUCUCUGGAGACUCCUGGUGUUUGUUCUAGCCAAGUUGGCUGGGAGUCUGACACCCCCCCUGUGUUGUGGAACACAUGAACCAAAAUGAGAACCGUGUCUGUCUGUGUGUGUGACCCAAAUGGCAUCCUAUUCCCUACAUAGAGCCCUAUAGGCCCUGGUCUAAAGUAGUGCACUAUGUAGGGAAUAGGGUGCCAUUUGGUACACUGACAGUGUGUGAGGUAGAGCUGUUCUCUUCUGCUUUCUCCAUCUACCCUCUGUUAUAAACCUCCCUGAAGAAUGACUGACUGGAUGGAUGGACAGAGAGAGAGAGAGAGAGAGAGAGAGAGAGAGAGAGAGAGACAGAGAGAGAGAGAGAGAGAGAGA
This is a long non-coding RNA of Oncorhynchus tshawytscha (Chinook salmon), 1256 nucleotides long. The record is from Ensembl. NCBI's taxonomy places the organism in Eukaryota, Metazoa, Chordata, Actinopteri, Salmoniformes, Salmonidae.